This 468-nucleotide ribosomal RNA is filed under the name uncultured bacterium. RNAcentral's name for it is "partial 16S ribosomal RNA". It matches the Rfam family "Bacterial small subunit ribosomal RNA", at positions 28 to 507 of the family's 1533-position model. The record is from RNAcentral.
GACGAACGCUGGCGGCGUGCUUAACACAUGCCAGUCGAACGGAAAGGCCCUGCUUUUGUGGGGUGCUCGAGUGGCGAACGGGUGAGUAACACGUGAGUAACCUGCCCUUGACUUUGGGAUAACUUCAGGAAACUGGGGCUAAUACCGGGUAGGAGCUCCUGCUGCAUGGUGGGGGUUGGAAAGUUUCGGCGGUUGGGGAUGGACUCGCGGCUUAUCAGCUUGUUGGUGGGGUAGUGGCUUACCAAGGCUUUGACGGGUAGCCGGCCUGAGAGGGUGACCGGCCACAUUGGGACUGAGAUACGGCCCAGACUCCUACGGGAGGCAGCAGUGGGGAAUAUUGCACAAUGGGCGGAAGCCUGAUGCAGCAACGCCGCGUGCGGGGUGACGGCCUUCGGGUUGUAAACCGCUUUCGCCUGUGACGAAGCGUGAGUGACGGUAAUGGGUAAAGAAGCACCGGCUAACUACGUG